CAAAGGAAUUGACGGGGCCCGCACAAGCGGUGGAGCAUGUGGUUUAAUUCGACGCAACGCGAAGAACCUUACCAGGGCUUGACAUCCCCUGACCGCGUAUGAAAGUACGUUUUCACCUUCGGGUGACAGGGAGACAGGUGGUGCAUGGUUGUCGUCAGCUCGUGUCGUGAGAUGUUGGGUUAAGUCCCGCAACGGGCGCAACCCCUACGUUUAGUUGCUAACGCGUGAAGGCGAGCACUCUAGACGAACUGCCGUUGACAAAACGGAGGAAGGUGGGGAUGACGUCAAAUCAUCAUGCCCCUUAUGUUCUGGGCUACACACGUGCUACAAUGGCCGGUACAGACGGACGCAAAGCCGCGAGGUGGAGCAAAUCCUAAAAAGCCGGUCUCAGUUCGGAUUGCAGGCUGCAAUUCGCCUGCAUGAAGUCGGAAUCGCUAGUAAUCGCAGGUCAGCAUACUGCGGUGAAUACGUUCCCGGGCCUU
RNAcentral lists this ribosomal RNA (482 nucleotides) under uncultured Pelotomaculum sp. RNAcentral describes it as "bacterial SSU rRNA". It matches the Rfam family "Bacterial small subunit ribosomal RNA", at positions 902 to 1382 of the family's 1533-position model. The record is from RNAcentral. Lineage: Bacteria; Bacillati; Bacillota; Clostridia; Eubacteriales; Desulfotomaculaceae.